GUGGGGAAUCUUAGACAAUGGGCGCAAGCCUGAUCUAGCCAUGCCGCGUGAGCGAUGAAGGCCUUAGGGUUGUAAAGCUCUUUCAGGGGGGAAGAUAAUGACGGUACCCCCAGAAGAAGCCCCGGCUAACUCCGUGCCAGCAGCCGCGGUAAUACGGAGGGGGCUAGCGUUGUUCGGAAUUACUGGGCGUAAAGCGCACGUAGGCGGACCAGAAAGUCAGGGGUGAAAUCCCGGGGCUCAACCCCGGAACUGCCUUUGAAACUCCUGGUCUUGAGGUCGAGAGAGGUGAGUGGAAUUCCGAGUGUAGAGGUGAAAUUCGUAGAUAUUCGGAGGAACACCAGUGGCGAAGGCGGCUUACUGGACUGUAACUGACGCUGAGGCGCGAAAGUGUGGGGAGCAAACAGGAUUAGAAACCCUUGUAGUCC
RNAcentral lists this ribosomal RNA (425 nucleotides) under uncultured bacterium. Its description in RNAcentral is "partial 16S ribosomal RNA". It matches the Rfam family "Bacterial small subunit ribosomal RNA", at positions 354 to 796 of the family's 1533-position model. The record is from RNAcentral.